This 496-nucleotide ribosomal RNA is filed under the name uncultured bacterium. Its description in RNAcentral is "partial 16S ribosomal RNA". It matches the Rfam family "Bacterial small subunit ribosomal RNA", at positions 28 to 523 of the family's 1533-position model. The record is from RNAcentral.
GACGAACGCUGGCGGUAUGCUUAACACAUGCAAGUCGAACGAGAAGCUUUUUAAUGAUCCUUCGGGUGAACUAAGAAGUGGAAAGUGGCGAACGGGUGAGUAACGCGUGGGUAACCUGCCUCAUGGAAAGGAAUAGCCUCGGGAAACUGGGAGUAAAGCCUUAUAUUAUUGAGUUGUCGCAUGGCAAUUCGAUGAAAACUCCGGUGCCAUGAGAUGGACCCGCGUCCCAUUAGCUAGUUGGUGAGAUAACAGCCCACCAAGGCAACGAUGGGUAACCGGUCUGGGAGGGCGAACGGUCACACUGGAACUGAGACACGGUCCAGGCUCCUACGGGAGGCAGCAGUGGGGAAUAUUGCGCAAUGGGGGAAACCCUGACGCAGCAAUACCGCGUGAGUGAAGAAGGUUUUCGGAUCGUAAAACUCUUUUGUUGGGGAAGAAGAAGUGACGGUACCCAAUGAAGAAGUCCCGGCUAACUACGUGCCAGCCGCCGCGGUAA